AUAGAGCUGAAAAAGAGCCAUAUCCUCAUCCAUUGAAUAUAAAAAUCUGCAUUGCAAAGUUUAAGAAAAUACCUGGAUUGUAGAAAAUAAAUACAACAGUGAAGAAAUAGAGCUCAGCAGGAAAAAAAUAGCAGCAAACACAAGCAGAAAAUAACAGUAGUUUCGUUUUUAAACAGCCCGAAAACCUUAGAAGAAACCUAGAACCAGCUCUAAAGAAGAAUUAUACAUUUCUAAAAGUUUGCACUCUAAAAUUUACUCACAAAGCUUACCAUUUUAGCUUACUAAAGGGUGCUUUAGUUGCUGAUUUUUUACUCUCCAAGUUGUAUUUUUAGGGUGUAAAGAUUGCCUAACAAAUGUGUGAUCCAGUCUCAAGUGAGGAAAUAGCAGCCCCUUAAAUAGGCAAAUAAAGUCCAUUUUUUGGGACAGAUUUUGGUUCACUAAAAAUCUGUCCAAAAGACUAACUUUGUGUGCUAAACACUGUUCAAGAUCUAUCCCAAAGAUGAAAGGACAGCCUGAAAAUCUGCUGUGUCAGAAGCAAGGAGAAAAAAUAUCAUUUCAGCUACCCUACUAGUAAAAGUAGGCUACUAUUAUCCUAUUUUGUGAUAAAAUAAACUAAACUUCAGAUUUUAACCCUUAACAACAAACUACUUGCUCAACACAAAUCAAACUUGAAUAACUAUGAAUUGACAAAGCAUAAACGAGACUAAAAAUGUAAUUGAACUAAGUAUUCAAACCAACUUGAUUGGAAUGAAUUCGAUUUGUGCAAACUAAUUACUAAACAAACAACUAAAUUCAAAAACAAAUGCUCAAAACAGAACGAGCAUUGUUAACAAUCGGGCAACAACUAACAACAACAAAAUAAUCGACUAACUACGUGAAUGAUUUAACUAAUACACUAAAGAUCAUGUUUAAAUCAAUAACAAAUCUAACAAACAACUAAAGUAAAUAGAGAUAACUAAUUAAAUAAACCUAACUUGAAACUCUAAUUAACAAGAAACAACCAAAACAGAAAAAUCAAAAAUCAGAAACUAAUCUACUAAUAUAAAAAAUCAAAAAUUAAUUAAAGAGAUGACGAUUAUACCUAACAAGUAUGCUUGAAACUGUUCGAGCCACGAGAAGACGCCGGGGAUGCUAAAAGGCGAUUGCCCGAUUCCGUAACGCAUAUUUCUUUUGGGUAGAUGCUAGAACGAAAUGAGUUUCAGCAUCUCGCCAAAAGAAACGAGUGUCUUUAAGUCGAAAAAUAGCUAGGAUGGGGGUUCAGGGCAUUUUGGCAGUGGUGAGGCAGUGGAGCCGCGGCGGCAGUGAGAAGCGGGCCGGCGGCGACAGGGAUUUUGGGGGUGAAAUGGGUAGGAAAAGAUAGGUCUCGUGGAGCUCUAUAUAUUCAUGUAUGUGUUGUAGGGUGGUGUUGGCCGGAAAUUUAAGAAUUUGGACCAAAAAAUGGCGGCUAAAGUUUCCUAGUUAUAAAAUUCAAGGAGUUUGAGGGGGUUUUGAAGGAAUUGGUUUGGAGAUAUGGGAAGAGGAGGUUGUGAAGAUUACAUG
This 1539-nucleotide long non-coding RNA is filed under the name Nicotiana tabacum (common tobacco). RNAcentral describes it as "long non-coding RNA (NTAB_LNC014769)". The record is from RNAcentral. Lineage: Eukaryota; Viridiplantae; Streptophyta; Magnoliopsida; Solanales; Solanaceae.